This 338-nucleotide unclassified non-coding RNA is filed under the name soil metagenome. Its description in RNAcentral is "partial contains 5.8S ribosomal RNA, internal transcribed spacer 2, and large subunit ribosomal RNA". The stretch from base 1 to 120 matches the Rfam family "5.8S ribosomal RNA", at positions 35 to 154 of the family's 154-position model. The record is from RNAcentral.
GAUGAAGAACGUAGCUAAAUGCGAUAAGUAAUGUGAAUUGCAGAAUUCAGUGAAUCAUCGAAUCUUUGAACGCACAUUGCGCCCGCCAGUAUUCUGGCGGGCAUGCCUGUCUGAGCGUCAUUUCAACCCUCAAGCAACUUCUGCUUGGUGUUGGGGAUCGGCCGUUAAACGCCGCCCCCGAAAUCUAUUGGCGAUCUCGCUGUAGCUUCCUAUGCGUAGUAGUAACAUCUCGCAUCUGGAGAGCGGCGCGGUCAUGCCGUAAAACACCCAACUUCUCAGGUUGACCUCAGAUCAGGUAGGAAUACCCGCUGAACUUAAGCAUAUCAAUAAGCGGAGGA